This 1106-nucleotide long non-coding RNA is filed under the name Anolis carolinensis (green anole). RNAcentral describes it as "lncRNA (ENSACAG00000035807.1)". Lineage: Eukaryota; Metazoa; Chordata; Lepidosauria; Squamata; Anolidae. The record is from RNAcentral.
AUGCUUUUGUAUUUUUUAUGUUUAAAGAUAGCAUGUUUUCCAUCAGUUAUUCUACCUCUUACUCUUCUAUCAGUAGCAUUACUGAACUGUGUUAUAACAGAUGAAAAUACAAUAACCAAAUACUUACUCUUCAAAACCUCACGUGAUUUUGUUCAUUUCAUCAAAGAAAUUCAAUAUUACAUUCUUAAGUUACAAAGAGAGGGAGAGGGAGAGGGAGAGGGAGAGAUCUAAUGUCCAAACAAUAUUCCCUAAAUUUUUGGUAUAUUCCAACAAUUGUUGGAAUGUUUUCUAGGUAGCCCCAUUAGCAUGGCCACUUUUUAAACUAUUCACUUUAUUUCCAGAGGGCAGGGGGACGCUGUUGGAGGUUUUUCAAUAUCCCACAAGAGAGUAUGUACAACCCAAUUCUGCUACAUGAAAAACUGAGGAUCAAAAGUCAUAAAAACCAUGUACACAAUAGGCAUCUGGCAGCAUUUUCAGACAACUUUUUAAAUUUAUUCUGACAUGCUAUAAAGGAAUAAAUUACACUGUUAAAUGAAUUUGCCAGCAGUAAGAAUAUCUUUUAGCUGGAUUAAGGUGAGAAGGACAGCCUAAGGCAGUAACCAGUAACCCAUGUGAACACCACACGCUGAGGGGCUGCCUAACAAGAGUAAAUCUGAUCAUAUCCACUUCACAAGAACUUGAAAGAAAAAUCCUCCUUUUCAAACUCUCCAUAUACUUCCAAUUUAAAUCUAUAAAAGCUAGUUUUGCAAAUCAGUCCAGCCAAUGUGAGACAACGGCAAGACUUUGUGAGUUGCUGUGAUGACUCCAAAAAGAUGCCUUUAUUUUUAUUCAGUCUCUUGUUACAGUGGGCUGGGUAUCAAUGCAACAGAUUAUAAAAAUGUAAGAGUGCCCCUCCCCAUCAAGAAAAAAAAUACAAAAUUUAUUUUAAAAACAAAAGUGAGGAAGAGUUACAACACUAGAUCUAAAAUGAUUAAGAAAUAGGACUUUUGCUUUAACAAAUGGCCUUGUAGUUGCCUGUUUUAAAAAAUGGCGGUGUCUAAUUUAGAUUGCAAAUUAUCAAGGCAAAUUAAAAAAAUCUCAUUCCCUUACAGAAACAGUUUAGUUUU